Molecule: long non-coding RNA, 1810 nt
Organism: Ixodes scapularis (black-legged tick)
Lineage: Eukaryota; Metazoa; Arthropoda; Arachnida; Ixodida; Ixodidae
Exons: 5
Source: RefSeq, a predicted model, not a curated record
UACUUCAGCAAACAAAAACAAGAGUUAAAAUACGAAGUAUUAUAGUCACGUGAUACAUCCCCUGCGUCAGGAAGUGGCCCGACGUGAUAAACCGAACGGUCCGGCCGGAGGACAAGGAAGCGUGGAAGAAGAACCGAAGCUGUCGAAGCAACGUUCGCGGGAAGUCUAACCGCUUGAAGCACGUUGCAGAGUCGAGACCAGUUGAGCGGCCGGAAUUUUACGAACGAUUAUGCAAGCGUACGUCUUGAGGACGACCAUGAGCCACAUAUCAUCUCAAAUUUCUGCCCGUCAAGCCUUGUGACGAAACGGAAUCGGACUUCUUCAAGGCGCGGAUCCUAAAGUUGUUUGGAUCGCAGAGUGACGCGGAAACCCAGUGACAGUAAGCGGGUGCUAGUACCUCCGACGAGAUGAGUGACUGCCCGGGAGGGCUGGAGGAAGCUUGUGUGAGACAGACUUCACACACGAAAGUUCUCAAAUAGAAGAGGGAAUCAAUGUUCAUCCGGUAAGGUUUGGUAAUUAUCUCCGCCACAGAUGGCCUCCUUGGCGAAUUGUAACCGGCAGACCUUCAAACCGCACAAAGGCUAAGCAAAGCCACAACUGGAUGCAGCAAGACUAAAAGCUUUAUAAUAUACUGUAAGGACUAUGGCUUUAUAAUAAGCCUUUUAUAGCAAAACAUACUGAUCUGAAAAGCGUUGUUUGUGGUUAUUUUAAAGUGGUAUACGGAAACUUUGUCGUAUUGUAUUAAUUCUGGUUCACUGCACAGUUGAAAGAAUUGUCUUCGUUUGCUGCCAGAGAAAUAUAGCUUGCGAUGAACUAAAUCAAAGCUAUGACUGCUGGUGUCAUGUACAUAUUCAGAACUUUUUUUUAUUAAAAUAAUUGUAAUCAAGUGUUUUUAUGGGUUUUAGCACUGUGAUUAAGAUACGUCAAUGUGUUUUCUAAGAAAGACUACUAAUUUGCAGUUUGUAUCUUCUCCUAAAAUAUUUUGUAGAUCUGAGCAUGUAUUCAUACCUGAAUAUGUGCCAGGCAUUCCCCAGUAUGUGUAUAAUUGUUUACUAGGCCUGUAAGCUUCCCCACUACAUCAUUGCCGUUAUGUUAACGCUUCCCACCUAUUAUUCGAGAGAGAUAAGUGUUUCUCAUGAUCAAUUAGGUUGAGAUUGUUUAGCGUUAAUGCUUUUGAGUCCCCCAUUUUUAAUUCCUGACAGAGCGCUUCAAUGUCGGUUUAUUUUUGGUUUGCCGCUAUUUAUCACCACAAGCAAAAACAUCACGCCACUGGGAUUAACCCGAAGCUCACCUCAUGAUUAACGACGCUGCCGUCCACUGUCUUAAGGUGGGCCUACGUUCAUGGGUACUUGUCUAGUGGUUCUGGAGUUGAUGUUGCUGAGAUAACCGAGACGCCGAUUUCUACGAUGGCCUCUGUCAGCAUCAUGGUCAAUUACAGCUGGCCCAAACCAGGCCAAUCAACGUGCUGGCCCGAACCAGGCCAAUCAACGUGCUGGCCCGAGCCCGGCCCGGGCCCACAGUCAAAAGUCCGAGCCCAUCCCAGGCCUGGGCUUUCGGCUCAGCAAAGUGUGUGGAUCUGGUUAUGCUUCCUGUACGAGACAGAUCACGAAGCGGUUGCUGACUGACCAGUUGGGGCGAAAAUUUUUGUGGAAAGGACGCAAGAGAAAGUUGACAUUCAGGAACCUUCACCUUGCUGAGUGCAUCAUAAAUGUAGUGCAGAGCUGCCAUAAAUGUGAAGACUUCAAGGUAGAAACCAUGGUCACGGAUUAACUUCGCCACGCACCUGCCUGACAUCAGUCAUCUCAAAUGG